UUAUAUUUUAUAUUGAACAAAAUACAAAUAAACAUAAUAUUAUUUUUUCUGUAGUUUUUUUUUUUUUUUUUCCCACUAGUUUUACAAUCUACCAAUAUNCACCGUCCAUUUUGAUAUAAUUUAUUUACUAAGUAAACGAUAUCGAAAAAAACUAAAAUUUUAUUCCUAAGAAAUUCAUAUACCAUAGAUCAUAUUUAACGGUGUGGAUCGUUGAUUUGAACGCCCUAAGAUCGAAAACCAACACUAUAGUACCGGAGCUCGGUAAUAUAGAUAGUAUAGUAGCCUAAUUCUAUAUAUAUAUAUAUAUAGAGAGAGAGAGAGAGAGAGAGAGAGAGAGAGAGAGAGAGAGAGAGAGAGAUAGGCUGAUAUACUAUUGGUAGCACGGAGGCCUCCGUGCUAUCAAGUUGUUUUCAAUGAUGCGGCUUCCAAAUCGACGAUCCGCUCCGUUAGACUUGAUAUACACUAUUGAAAAUAUUUGGAAACUAAAUUUCAUAAAUUUUCGGUGUCAUUUACCUACCAAACAAGUAGUCUAAAAAUAAAUGGCUGAAAAUAAAAAUCUCCUAAAAAAUGAUGAUAAAAGACUUGAAUUUAAGAUCAGAGGCACUGAUCUUACUCUAAAUAGUGAAAAAAAUUCUAUAAAAAUUUCAUCAUGAUUUAAAUUAUUUUACACCGUUAAAUUCACAAACAUAUCACAUCUACCAUUAAAAUUGUCAAUUUUAAGACCUUUUAAUCACUAGCCAAAUGAUGUUAAAAAAUUAUAAAAUUUAGUUUUCCAAUAUUUUUAAUAGUGUAGAUCAAGUCUAACGGAGCCGAUCGUCGAUUUGGAAGCCGCAUCAUUGAAAACAACUUAGUAGCACGGAAGCCUCCGUGCUACCGAUAGUAUACCAGCCUAACUCUCUCUCUCUCUAUAUAUAUAUAUCAAA
Molecule: long non-coding RNA, 923 nt
Filed under: Ananas comosus (pineapple)
Lineage: Eukaryota; Viridiplantae; Streptophyta; Magnoliopsida; Poales; Bromeliaceae
Description: long non-coding RNA (ACOM_LNC029780)
Source: RNAcentral